This 399-nucleotide ribosomal RNA is filed under the name uncultured bacterium. RNAcentral describes it as "bacterial SSU rRNA". It matches the Rfam family "Bacterial small subunit ribosomal RNA", at positions 356 to 773 of the family's 1533-position model. The record is from RNAcentral.
GGGGAAUAUUGCACAAUGGGCGAAAGCCUGAUGCAGCAACGCCGCGUGAGCGAUGAAGGCCUUCGGGUCGUAAAGCUCUGUCCUCAAGGAAGAUAAUGACGGUACUUGAGGAGGAAGCCCCGGCUAACUACGUGCCAGCAGCCGCGGUAAUACGUAGGGGGCUAGCGUUAUCCGGAAUUACUGGGCGUAAAGGGUGCGUAGGUGGUUUCUUAAGUCAGAGGUGAAAGGCUACGGCUCAACCGUAGUAAGCAUUUGAAACUGAGAAACUUGAGUGCAGGAGAGGAGAGUAGAAUUCCUAGUGUAGCGGUGAAAUGCGUAGAUAUUAGGAGGAAUACCAGUUGCGAAGGCGGCUCUCUGAACUGUAACUGACACUGAGGCACGAAAGCGUGGGGAGCAAAC